Molecule: ribosomal RNA, 467 nt
Filed under: uncultured bacterium
Lineage: Bacteria
Description: partial 16S ribosomal RNA
Rfam family: Bacterial small subunit ribosomal RNA
Source: RNAcentral
GACGAACGCUGGCGGCGUGCUUAAUACAUGCAAGUCGAACGGACAGGCCUCUUUCUUGGGGUUCUCGAGUGGCGAACGGGUGAGUGAGACAUGAGUGGACUGCCCUUGUAUUUGGGAUAACUUCAGGAAACAGGGGGGAAUACAGGAUAGUAGCUCCUUCGGCACGGUGGGGGUUGGAGAGUUUCGGCGGUUGGGGAUGGAUUCGCGGGUUAUCAGCGUGGUGGUGGGUAAGUGGCUUACCAACGCUUUGACGGGUAGCCGGACUGAGAGAGUGAACGGCGACAUUGGGACUGAGGGAAGGCCCAGACGGGUACGGGAGGCAGUAGUGGGAAAUCUUGCAGAAUGAGUGCCAGUCUGAUGCAGCAAUGCCGUGUGCGGGAUGACGGUCUUCGUGCUGAAAACCACUUUCGUUCAUGACGAAGCUCUGUGUGACGGUAGUUGGUAAAAAAGCACCGGCUAACUACGUG